Molecule: long non-coding RNA, 1783 nt
Organism: Lathyrus oleraceus (garden pea)
Lineage: Eukaryota; Viridiplantae; Streptophyta; Magnoliopsida; Fabales; Fabaceae
Exons: 3
Source: RefSeq, a predicted model, not a curated record
UCAAGAUAUGAUCAAAUCAUUUUCACCAAUUUUUGAACUUCAACAAGCCAUAACUCUCAAACCAUAAGGCCAAAUUUGGUGGGGUUUUUUCCUACAAACCACAUUUUUCAUCCUCUUUCCAAAAAUAUAAAUUUCAUGACCUAAAACCCUACCAUUCAAAAUGGCAUUUUUGGACCAAUUCCUUCAAAAUUCAAAGUUUGACCAAACUUUGACUUUUUGAUUUAUGGACUUUUUCACCAUUUUGCCAAUUGGGAAAUGUUCCAUAUAUCAUUUAUGAUUUGUUCCAAGCCUAAAACCAUCAUCAUACCACCAUUUUCCCAUCAUUUUGAAUCAAAUUGCAAAAUUGACAAAAUUGGCAAUUGGCUUCACAAAAGCAAAUAUAGUACAGCAUUUUCUGUACAACCACAAGCAGCAUUGUGUUUGGCCUGCUAGCAGCCUUUCCAGCCCAUUUGUGCAGACAAACACACCCACCAUUUUCACUUGUUCCACAAUUAGCAAUUUGCAAAAUGACCAUUACACACAAAACCAAUUUACCACAUGAUUAAAUGAUGAUUAACAGAUGAUAUUUAAGCCUUCAUUUUCUGUUUCCAACCCUAGUUCUAAGCAGCCACCAACCAGAAAAGCUCACUCUCUCAUUUUUGCAUUUGUGGCCUUUGGCAAUUUUUGCUCGAAAUCUCCAAACCACUUGAACAUUCCUUCAUGUUUCCAUCAUCUAACCACCAUUAAGAGUCAUUCCUGAUCAUAAGAUACUGACUGGAAUAGCAUUGCAAGGUCUGCAUUUUCAUGAGUCCAACAAUGGUAGUUUUCGGUUCUGGGAUUUCUAAGAGUUGCUGAGCUUCAAGCUACCCUCCAACCAUCAUUCCAAACUAAGGGCUUCAUCUGUUUGAGCUUGUAACCAUCAAAGCAGCUCUGCUCCACAUUUUCUUCCAAAACAAGUGCUUUAGUUGCUUAAGUUCUUUGAACUUGCUUGCUUGCUUUGCUUUUUAGCAUUUGCUUUGAGACAUGGAAAGACCGAAAAGGCAUACAAAGAAGUACAGCUUUAAGCAGCCUGAUGUAAAAGAGUUAAGGAAUCUGACAUCAUAUGUAUUAGAUCCCUUGGGUUUCAAGGCUCGAUAUGGGAAGCUUCUGCCGUUGCUGACUACUCAAGUGGAUGAGGGAUUGAUGAGCACUCUUGCUCAGUUCUAUGAUCCGCUCUAUCAUUGCUUCUUAUUUCCGGACUUCCAGUUGUUGCCAACUUUGGAAGAAUACUCUCACCUUAUUGGGAUUCCUAUUCUGGAUCAAGUGCCGUUCAGUGGCUUAGAGAGUAUUCCAUCUGCUCGAGAGAUUUCCAGCUUGUUGCACAUAGAUGAAGAUCUGAUUAGAGCUAAUCUGACUACCAAAGGCGGAAUUCAGGGUUUUCCUUCCGAGUUCCUCAUUGCUCAAGCCACUUUCUAUGGGAAGGCCAUGAGUGAGGAUGCCUUUGAGGCUCUGUUCGUUUUGCUUAUCUAUGGAUUGGUGCUGUUUCCCAACUUUGACAAGUUCGUCGAUAUGAAUGCCAUUAGGAUCUUUUCAGUUCUUAAUCCGGUUCCGACCUUGUUGGGUGAUGCAUAUGUUUCCUUGCAUCUGAGGAAUAUGAAGAAUGGAGGAGUCAUUGUCUGCUGUUUACCCCUGCUGUACAAGUGGUUUAUUUCGCACUUGCCGCAGACAGUUGCUUUCAAGGAGAACAAGGGAUGUCUACGGUGGUCUCAGAGACUCAUGUCUCUCACCAAUGAUGAUAUCACCUGGUAUGAUCGCGUGUACGAUA